This 440-nucleotide ribosomal RNA is filed under the name uncultured bacterium. Its description in RNAcentral is "partial 16S ribosomal RNA". It matches the Rfam family "Bacterial small subunit ribosomal RNA", at positions 338 to 795 of the family's 1533-position model. The record is from RNAcentral.
CCUACGGGUGGCUGCAGUAGGGAAUAUUGCUCAAUGGGGGAAAGCCUGACGCAGCAACGCCGCGUGGAGGAUGAAGGCUUUCGGAUUGUAAACUCUGUUUGUUAGAAAGGAAAAUGACGGUAUCUAACGAAUAAGCACCGGCUAACUCCGUGCCAGCAGCCGCGGUAAUACGGAGGGUGCAAGCGUUAUUCGGAAUCACUGGGCGUAAAGAGUGCGUAGGCGGGAUAGCAAGUCAGAUGUGAAAGCCUAUGGCUUAACUGUAGAACUGCAUUUGAAACUGUUAGGCUAGAGUAUGGGAGAGGUAGGUGGAAGUCUUGGUGUAGGGGUAAAAUGCGUAGAGAUCAAGAGGAAUACUCAUUGCGAAGGCGACCUGCUAGAACAUAACUGACGCUGAUGCGCGAAAGCGUGGGGAGCAAACAGGAUUAGAUACCCGGGUAGUC